This 265-nucleotide ribosomal RNA is filed under the name uncultured bacterium. RNAcentral describes it as "partial 16S ribosomal RNA". It matches the Rfam family "Bacterial small subunit ribosomal RNA", at positions 793 to 1055 of the family's 1533-position model. The record is from RNAcentral.
GUCCACGCCGUAAACUAUGGAUGCUAGUUUUACCCAUAUCGACCUGGGUAGAAACGAAGUUAACGCGUUAAGCAUCCCGCCUGGGGAGUACGGUCGCAAGAUUAAAACUCAAAGGAAUUGACGGGGACCCGCACAAGCGGUGGAGCGUGUUGUUUAAUUCGAGGGUAAGCGAAGAACCUUACCAAGGCUUGACUUCCUGCGAAGGCUUCCGAAAGGAAACUGUGCCUUUAUUGGAACGCAGUGACAGGUGCUGCAUGGCCGUCGU